RNAcentral lists this long non-coding RNA (7844 nucleotides) under Homo sapiens (human). RNAcentral's name for it is "non-protein coding lnc-RASGRP4-1:1". Lineage: Eukaryota; Metazoa; Chordata; Mammalia; Primates; Hominidae. The record is from RNAcentral.
GCAGUGCGUUCGGGAUCUCCGCUGUCAAGACAAGCUGGCGGCGGGUGUCACUGUUGCGGCGACAUAAAAACAACUUCGGUGCCAUUUUCCUUUUCCUCCCUCAGUUGUCUUCUGCUGGUGUUUUGUUGGUUUGUUUUUGAGGCAGAUUUCGCUCUAUCGUUCAGGCUGGACUGCAGUGGCGCCAUCGCGGCUCACUGCAGUCUCGACCUUCUGGGCUCAAGAGAUCCUCCCGCCUCAGCCUCCCAGCUAAAUUUUUAAAAAUCAGUCAGCCUUGGUGGCUUACACCUAGUAGCUGGGACCACAGGCGCAGACCACCGCGCCUGGCUGAUUUGUUUUUAAUUUUUUUGUAGAGACAAGGUUUCCUCAUGUUGCCCAGCCUGGUUUCCAACUGCUGGGUUCAAGCGAUCCGCCUGCCUCGGCCUCCCAAAGUGCUGGAAUUACAGGCGUGAGCCACUGCAACCGGCCAAUUUUUUUUUUUUUUUAAAGUUUUGUAGAGGCCGGGCACGGUGGCUCACGCAUGUAAUCCCAGCACUUUGGGAGGCUGAGGUGGGUGGAUCACUUGAGGUCAGGAGUUCGAGACCAGCCUGGGCACAUGGUGAAACCUCAUCUCUAAUAAAAAUACAAAAAUUAGCCGGGCGUGGUGGCACACGCCUGUAGUCACCACUAUUUGGGAGGCUGAGGCAGGAGAAUUGCUUGAGCCCGGGAGACACAGACUGCAGUGAGCCAAGAUCGCGCCACUGCACUCCAGCCUGGGGACAGAGCAAGACUCCGUGUCAAAAAAGAAAUAAAGUUUUGUAGAGAGGGGUCUAGCUAUGUCGCCCAGGUUUGCCUCUAACUCCAGUGUUCAAGCAAUCCUUCCCUCUCAGCCUUCCAAAGCUUGGGAUUACAGGCUUGAGCCAGUGUUCCUGGCCCUGUCCUCUGCUCUUAAAGCAGCCCAGACGGAGUGGUGUUCACCCAACUCUGCCUAAAAUCCAAAACUUCCUCCCUCCUUUCCACCUCAGGGUUUGAAUUACAUAAGGGACCCAGGAAUCCCAGCACACCCCUCACACACCAGGCCCUCCUCAUCGAUCACGAUGUGCCUGUUAGGCCUUCACUCCUCUCCCUCUUAGGCCUUGGAGUGAGCAGGUGCAAUGCACCAUAGUGGUUAAGAGAUUACACCCUAGGAAUCAGGCAAAGGGUUAGGGCUUGAUUCUGUUACUCGCCAGCUCCAUGUUCCUGCCAAAUUGCUUCCCAUCUGUAUAAUGGGGAUAAUAGUACCUACCUCUUAGAGUUGUUGCUGAGGAUUAAUUAGAGUUUCAUAUGUAAAAAGUGCUUAGCAGAUAUAUAGGGAGUACUUAAUAAGGAAUAACUAAUAUAUAUACAGCAUUUAAUGUGUACUAUUGGGCGAAGUAUCUUAUCUCUUUUACAGAAGAGAAAACUAAGGUUGAGAGAAGAUAAGUCACAGAGUGAAUUCAUGGUGAUGCCAAGGCUUGAAGAUGAAAUUCCAGACUCUAUACUCUUAAACCACGGAACCUAUUUCCACUGUUACUACUGCUGUUGUUUUGUUGCUGUUGCUAAGUAAACAUUGUGUCAGAUCUAAUCUCUUCCUUACUGUAUCCUGGUAUCCAGUAGUUCCUAGACAAUUCUGCUGGAAGUUGGGGGUGGACCAGGAGCCUGGAGGGAAGAACAGGGGUAGAACUUGUUCCUUAAGGGCAGAUACGAGUAACCCCAUAACCCUGUUUACCCCAAGGCAGGACACUUGGGGGGCUAUUUUUUGACAUAAAUCAAAUGUUAAAAAUUGCCCAGAGGUGGGCCACAGUGGCUCACACCUGUAAUCCCCGCCUUUCAGGAGGCUGAGGUGGGAGGAUCGCUUGAGCCCAGGAGUUUAAGACCAGACCAGGCACCAUAGUGAGAACAUGUCUCUACAAAAACAUUUUUAAAAUUAGCCAGGCUUGGUGGUGUGCACCUGUAAUCCCAGCUACUCGGGAUGCUGAGGUGGGGGGAUCACUUGGGCUCAUGAGUUUGAGGCUGCAAUGAGCAGUGAUCAUGCCACUGCACUCCAGCCUGGGUGAUGAACUCAAUUUAAAACAAAAAAAAAAAUUGCUCCAGCCAAAAACCUGGACUUACUAUCUUGACUCCUCUAUCUCAAAUCCCAUACAUAAAUCUGUGGGUUCUAUUUACAAAGUAGGCCCAACACCUGCCCACUUCUCCACCCUUCAGGGCCCUCACCCUGGGCCUGUCCGCUGCUGUCUUGUCCUGAACCAUCACAGCAGCCUCCUCUCUGUGAAGCUGUCCCCCACCCCACUCCUACUCUGCUGACCACAUGCAGCAGAAGGAGCCUGUGAACUGAGUCAGGUCACAUGCCUCCCAUGUUUGAAAUUUCCUGUGGCUCCGUCUCACUCAGGGUAAAAACCUAAGUCCAUUCAAUGCCCUUCAAGGCCUGACAGAUCUGCCCCAUCGCCUCUCUGCCCUCAUCUCCUAGCGCUCUCUUCUCUGCUUCCUCCCCUCUCAACACUCUAGCUCCCUGAAGCUCCUCAGACUUACCGGACACACUCCUGUCUCAGGGCCUUGCACUGGCUGUUCCCUUUACUUAAAAUACCCUUCCCUGCAGACAUCCCCAGAACUCCCUCACCUCCGUCAGGGCUUUGUUCAAAUGCCAGCUCCUGGCUAGGCACAGUGGCUCACACCUGUAAUCACUUGGGAGAUUUCCACCUGGAAUCACUUGGGAGACCAAGGCAGGUGGAUCACUUGAGGUCAGGAAUUCGAGACCAGCCUGGCCAAAAUGGUGAAACCCUGACUCCACUAAAAAUACAAAAAUUAGCCGGGCGUUGUGGCACCCACCUGCAGUCCCAGCUACUCAGGAGCCUGAGGCAGGAGAAUCACUUGAACCCAGGAGGCAGAGGCUGCAGUGAGCAGAGAUCAUGCCACUGCACUCCAGCUUGGGUGACCGAGUCAGACUCUGUCUCAAAACAACAAAUGCCAACUCCUGAGGAGGGUCUAACCUGGCCACUCUAGCUAAAAUGGCAUGUAUCCCCCAUUCCCACUUUUUUUUUUCUUUCUGCUUUCUAUCAUUUCUAACAUAUUAAGUCAUUUACUUAUUGUCUCCCCUACUAUAAAGCUCAUAAGCUCUUUGCAGGAGGGACUUUUGUCUGUUCUGCCCACUGCUUUAUCUCCAGUGCUUUCAACAGGGCUUGGCACAUAAUUAGGUGCUCAAUAAAUGCAUUUGUUGAGUGUCUUAUAAAACUCAGCUUGAGGGUCUGAUGGGAGAAGGGAGAAUUUAAGUAGGAGACUGGUUUAGCAGUUCAGGAAGGUGAGUGGGUGGGGUGCACAGAGGCAAAUAAAUAACACAGGCUGAGACUUUGUCACAGACAUUUCUUGGAGCAGAUCUCGUGCCCCCUCCCCCGAUGACAAGGCUGGGUCUUUGGCCCCCAUCCUCCCCCACCACUUCAGCCUGCACUGACACUAACAAUAUUGAGGUCACAGACUGGCUUAGAAACAAGAUCAGGAAGAUAUAUGUUGGGGUGCCUCCCCCAAAUCUGGGGGCCAAGCAUCCGAUCUGAGGGGCAAGCGGCUGGGAAAUUGGGCCUGGGGGCUCCAGGGUCUGAGGUCUGCCUGGCUCCCAGGGCGGCCCUCCAUGUACCCCUGAUUUGGGGGCAAUGAAGGGGAAUCAUGGAUCAGAGGUGGGUCUCAGCAGGGAGCAGGACUGGGGGACCUGGGAGAGGCGCUGCUGGGAAGUGGCGGCCAGGGGACCUUUCCUUAGCCCCCACCGCUUCAUCUGCAGAUCCCACAGCACCGUACAGCACUCUGGUCCCCCGUCCCACCCCUCCCCAAAACGAGGUAGGUUAAGAAUGGAGCUUCCCCCCCGCCCACCAUGGAAGGGGGGAGACCGAGGCACAGAGAGGGGCAUGGGGACCCAGGCUGCCCCAGCCCCCAAUCCCUCCGCCCUCAGCUCUGGUGGGUCUGACAGUGAUGAGAGCUGGGCAGAGUGGGGAGGGGAGAGACACCCCCGCUUUUCUCUCACCCAUCCCAGGGUCUGGUUGGGAGUGCUGAAUCUCACAGGUUCCGGAUGUAAUAAAUAGUUAAUAAUUUAAAGGAAGAGACAGAGGACCUAUCCCUUGAACCCCAACAAGGCCAUCCAAGUCUGGGUAAUGAAGAAAGGUUAAGUGCACAGUUCCAGAUGCUUGGGGCCAGAUGCAGGUCCCAAGCCCAUACAACAUUGAGACUGUCUUGCUCCAAGACCUUGAGGCCCCCAUACAGGACACCAGAUCUUCGAUCCACUGGAAGCCCCAUUUCACUUGGGGGAAAAAAGCCUGUGGCACCCCCCUUUGCACAGAAGAGACUCAGUGGGCCAUGAAACAGGCUUUCAAACUUCCUGAAGCAACUUCUCACUCUAAAGUGGAAGAGAGCCAGGUGCAGUGGCUCAUGCCUGUAAUCCCAGCACUUUGGGAGGCUGAGGCAGGUGGAUCAUGAGGUCAGGAGUUUGAGACCAUCCUGGCCAACAUGGUGAAACCCUGUCUCUACUCAAAAUACAAAAAAUUAGCUGGGUGUGGUGGCACAUGCCUGUUAUCCCAGCUACUCGGGAGGCUGAGGCAGACGAAUGGCUUGAACCCGGGAGGGGGAGGUUGUGGUGAGCCGAGAUUGUGCCACUGCACUCCAGCCUGGGUGAUACAGCGAGACUCUGUCUCAAAAUAAAUAAAUAAAUAAAUAAAUAAAUAGGAAGAGAAGGGGUUAAUGGAGGGGGAGAACAUAAAAGGUGGGACUUGAACCUGGACUAGGAAUUAAGGUUGUGCUUGAAGGAAGGUCUGCAAGACUGGGGGCUGUGGGACAGCAGAGCCAUAACUAGCCUGAAAGUUUCCAUUGCACACACUUCUUCUGAGGGCACAGUGUGGCCAGCAGACUGGUGUGACUUCCAGCUCCUCGAAACCCUGGGCUGUGUGCCUUCACUUAAUGAAGACCCUGCAUAAUCAUCUGUGACAAUGCUGGGUCCUAGACGUGACAGUGAGGGAGCUCCUACUUGGUCCUUUUUUUUUUUUUUUAGAGACGGUCUCACUACAUUGCCCAGGCUGGUCUCAAACUCCUGGCCUUAAGCGAUCCUCCUCCCUUGGCCUCCCAAAGUGCUGGGAUUACAAGGCAUGAGCCACUGUGCCCCACCCUGGGUGGUCCUACAAUGAGUUCCAAAUGGUAGGGAUCCCACCCUAAGAUAAAGGGGUAAUUCUGAGGAUUGCUGGGGGCUUGGGCUGGGAUCCUUGGGACCAGAAUUCCAGAGGCUGGAACCUUGGGGUUUUAGGGGCCUAUGGAUGACAGGAUUCAAGGGGCAGCAGGUCUCUGAGGUCCGACAAGUGGGGAUGGGGGAAUCAGGUGUAGAGGCAACUUGGGGUUCAUCAGACUAGAGAGGUUUGAAUCCAAAGAAAUCUGGGGUCUGAGGGUGCUGGGGUCUUGGGGCACCUCGAAUCUGAACGCCUCUGGUAUGGAGGGAUGAAGGUCUUGGAUCAGGAACAAUCCCAAUGUUGUAGGGUCUUGAGCCUUGCAUUUGGGGGUCAGUGGCACCUUUGGGGUAUUGGAUCCAGUGCUCCUAAAGUACCUUAGGGUCACUCAAGGGCUGAGGGCCAAGGGCAUCAGAGGUCUGGGUCACCAUGAGCAUCCCCUCUUCUGGGAGCUGGACUCCCAGCCCUUAAGGGGUUGGGAAUCUGUGGGUAGAAAGAAGCUGAAGAUUCCAGGACAUUUGGGGUCUCAAAAUCCAGGUCCAGGAGGGACUGCAAGAGAGGGCUAUUUGAGAACUCGAGACCAGUAUCUCGGGUCCUGAGGUGUUGGUGGCCUUCAGUCGCACAUCUGAGGACCCCAGGCACCUCUGAGUCCUAUAAAUGAUAUCCAAAGCUCCUGAGAACCCUGGCUUGGGGGUGGGUGGACCUAUGGAGGUCUUUGAUCCCUGGCUUCCAGAGCAUCUUGGUGUCUGAUAUCUGGAUCUUGGGGGCUCUGGGAUGGGUCUCCCAAGUCAUUUUGGUAAGAGAACAGCUCGUGUUUCAGUAUAUCCGAGCACUCAGUGCAUCUUAAGAGUCUGGGGUCCCAGGGUGUCUGGGAGUUCCCUGGACAUCUUAGACUUCAGUGUUCCCGGACUGGAGGCCAGGUCUGUGGGCACUAAGUCGUGGGUAGAUUUGAGGGGCAGCAUCUGGAGAUUCCAGAGCAUAACAGAGUUUCAAACUCUGUUUGAAACUUUCUCAGGGGUCCUGCUGUCUCAGGGGUCCUGGGACUAUGAGAAUGUCUCAGAUGUGGGGGCACCAGGUCUUAGGUGAAUAUUCAGGAACUGUUUGUGGGUGACUCCAGGUCCUAUGGUCUCAAGAUCUGAUCUGGGAGUUGAAUAAAGGCAGAGCCAGUUAUGGGCAAGUCCUGACUAAUUGUGGGGCUGUAAUCUGAGGGACAUGGUGCCAGGCGUGACCGGGUUCUAGGUUGUUCAUUUCAACAGGGACCUGCCCUUUUCGGGAUCUAUGUGCUCCCUGGCCUUUCUGAGAUGCAAAGUAUGGGGACGCCUGGAGCCUCCUCGUGGGGUGUGGGGGUGGGGGAACGCCAGAACUCAGGACGCCUGGGACUUCUUAGACAGACACCCCAAUGAAGCUGGGGCUGGGGUCUCUCAGUCCUAGGUUUGGGUUCCAGGUUCCAGGUCUGAGAUCUCUCAAUCCAAACUCAAGCUCCAAGUUCCGGAUGUGCCUAGGUUUGGGUUUUAGGUCCGAACGGAGUCCGGGGUCCUGGACCCUCAAUUUUGGGUCCUCGGGCCGGCUAGGGGACCCACCAGGCCGUCCUCACCGCGCAGCCUCCUCGUGGCGACCCCCGCAGCCGGCGCAGCCGCAUCGCGCUGCGACCCAGUGGCACGCGCGCAGGGGCGCGUAGCAGCAGAGGCAGGGCACUGCCAGGGAGAGCGCGGCCAGCGCGGCCCAGCGCGCGGCGGGGCGCGGGUGGCCCGGCUCGCAGGCGCACGGGUCCGAGAAGUCGCCCUCGGCGUCCGACAGGCAGUGGUAGAGCAAGCUCUCGGCGCACCACAGGCAGCUUAGACGGCGCACCAGGAGGCGACCCGGGUCCGGGGCCUCUGCGCAGCGGCCGCCACGCCCGUCUGCUCUGCGACGGAAGAGCGCGCGGCAAUGCACGCAGCGCGCUGCCUCCUCCGCUUCCGGGGAGGCCUUGGCAGGCGCAGAGGAUGGGCCCGGGCCGGGGGGUGGGCGAGCGGGGGGCGCUGGGGGCGCAGCCUCGGUCAAAGGGGCAGGUAGUGCCGCUGGGGGACCCAGGGCAGCGCCCCUCAACGCGCCGGUCUUGGCGAAGCGCACGACGCAGGUGGACAGGGCGAGGGGCGCGGGUGGCCCGGAGCGCCGGUAAUCCUCGUAGCCGCGGCCGCCCCACCCCAGGCCCCCUGCCCCUGCCAGGGGCUCUGAGGGUUCCGGAAUCCCCGUGAACGGUAGAAGCGGAGGGUAGCUCUGCGGAACGAAGGGACAAACAGAUCAGAAUCCAUCCCAGUCUUAGCCUCAAGGAUCCAGUUCCCUAGCGCACUCUUGGGUCUGGGAUUCAGAUUUUCAAGACCCCAGCUUGCUUCUCUCCCAAGGUCCCUCAAUCCCCACUUUUCUCCAGGGACAGACAGAGGAAUCCACGCACCAACCCCACACCUUUAAGGACCCAGAGGCCGAAGGUUCCUAGUCCUGUCCUCUCUUAAGAUCCAAGAGCCCCAGCUCCCAGCCCCCUCUACCUUGAGAUCCAGGGGUUCUGGACCCAGCCACCUCCUCCUUAAAGGCGCAGGAGUUUGGUUCCUGGGCCUCUUUUACCCUUCUGGGUACCGACUCUCCCACCCUCCCCGUGAAUUUAACAGUCCUCUUCCAGGAGUUCCC